UGGGGAAUAUUGGACAAUGGGGGGAACCCUGAUCCAGCCAUGCCGCGUGUGUGAAGAAGGCCUUAUGGUUGUAAAGCACUUUAAGCGAGGAGGAGGGUACUGGUAUUAAUACUACCAGGUACUGGACGUUACUCGCAGAAUAAGCACCGGCUAACUCUGUGCCAGCAGCCGCGGUAAUACAGAGGGUGCGAGCGUUAAUCGGAUUUACUGGGCGUAAAGCGUGCGUAGGCGGCUAAUUGAGUCGGAUGUGAAAUCCCCGAGCUUAACUUGGGAAUUGCAUUCGAUACUGGUUAGCUAGAGUGUGGGAGAGGAUGGUAGAAUUCCAGGUGUAGCAGUGAAAUGCGUAGAGAUCUGGAGGAAUACCGAUGGCGAAGGCAGCCAUCUGGCCUAACACUGACGCUGAGGUACGAAAGCAUGGGGAGCAAACAGG
RNAcentral lists this ribosomal RNA (430 nucleotides) under Pseudomonadota bacterium. Its description in RNAcentral is "Proteobacteria bacterium partial 16S ribosomal RNA". It matches the Rfam family "Bacterial small subunit ribosomal RNA", at positions 355 to 776 of the family's 1533-position model. The record is from RNAcentral. Lineage: Bacteria; Pseudomonadati; Pseudomonadota.